Molecule: long non-coding RNA, 827 nt
Filed under: Felis catus (domestic cat)
Lineage: Eukaryota; Metazoa; Chordata; Mammalia; Carnivora; Felidae
Description: lncRNA (ENSFCAG00000046433.2)
Source: RNAcentral
CCCACGAAUUUCCUCAGAGGCUUCCCCCCCACCCCCACCCCCCACUUGAGAGCAGGAACAAGGCCAGCUGGGUAGGCCACCCUCCUCCAGCUCUCUUCCCAGUCUCUGCACUGUGUUUGGGACAAGCAGCGCUUGGGGCCGCCCGGCCGGAGAUUUUAUCCGACUUCUCCCGAAUCUAAUUCCGGGGGGGGGGGGGGGGGGGGGGAGGAAGCGAAGUAAAACUGGCUGUUUUAGGUUCAUGGACGAUGCAUUUCUGGGCAUGAGGUUCAGCUCUCUGUAUCCUGCUGUUGAAGAAAGUUUGAGAGAGUCAAAUCGUUUCUCACUGUGGUCCUCACUGUGGUAAUGACAGAGAGUCACAGAGAAGAUUCCGGUUUCCCAGACCCCGCCGAGGGGGGGCAGCUGGCACCUGCCGACAACCGCCUGCUUGCCUCUGAUUUCCCUGGGUCAGCGUCUCCCUACUGUGCGCGCUGAGCCAAGGAGCAGCAACAAGAAGGAAAGACAAGUGGGAAGCUGUUGGGUGAGAGAGGAAGUGUCAGAACAUCAGAUCAGCCUGACUUGGUUGCGAGAGACGGCAGAGGAGCAAAUCUGCCUUCCCGGAGGAAAAACAUCACCGGCCAUCGGUGGAGGGAAUUUGGCUUUUGGUUCCUAACCGGAGAAGACAGCUACCUGUCAAAUGGCGUGGAGUCGACUGGGGAGCCAGUGUGGCUAUGUUCCCACUUAGCGAUGUUUGGUUUUCUCUCCAGAAAUGGACUUUAUUUCCUCUAAAUUCGUAUUGUAGCUCAUCUCAGAUUAAUAAAGUUUUCUCUAUUAAAGGAGGUCCUUAGAGU